AUUACAAACACACACACACACAUAAAUAUAUCCCAUAUAUAUAUAUAUAUAUAUAUCAUCUUUAUAAUCUGCAAUUAGGUAACGAUUCUUGAUUAGAGUAGCAUCAAUCAAUAGGUAGCAUCAAUCAAUCAACAACAUCCGCAGAAUUCUUGAUUUUCGACUUUUGUGGAAUAAAGGAUAAUGAAAACCAAGAUAAAGAUGGCAGAUCCUAGAACAAGAAUAAUCGUUGUAAAUCCAGAAUGUGUUUCUCUGGUACUUGCUCCCCCUAGCCGCCAUGGUGGGUUCAUUCUUUACCGGAGCUUAAAGUGCCAACCGAAGUUACCAGAAUUGAGCGCUACUCAAGUAGCAAGGAAGAAGCUUUGGCGAAAAAAUUAAGCGGUGGUAUACUUAUCAAGUGCAGUUUGUGAGUGAUAUGAAUGGUGUUUUACGAGCCAUCGGGAGGGUAGAUGGCUUUUUCAAUAUUCCGCGGGCCUUGAGGGCAGUACUUGAAGAGACAGCCUCCAGCCUCGCCAGAUUUGCAUUGGAGCUCCACUCAUUGACAUUUGAACAGAUGUAUGUUUACAUUCGCCUUCGCGGACUAAAGAGGUCAGACUCAAUAUUGUAUCCUGCUGAUUCACCAGACGGUUGUGACUUCGAGUGCGUGAUUUGUAGUGAUAAACUAGCUGAAUCCCCACCUAACACCAAGCUGUUAUUGUUUGACUGCGAUCAUCUACACCAUUUGGAUUGCAUCUCUUUUUGCAUCUACACCAAGCUGUUAUUGUUUGCAGAAACACCAUGCUACCAAUUCACACUUUGGCAGCCGUUUGGAACAGAAAAAACUGAUGUAAAACAAAGUUGUCAAUUCUUUUAAUCUUUGUUUCUCUUAGAACCUUAGCAUAAGACAACUGUUACAAGAUAUUCAGAUAGAUAUUAUUCUUUUGGUACAUAUAGGAUAGUUCUUUGUAACUGGGCUGACUUAAGUCUGCUCUAAACGCAUUCAUUCAUUUCUAUGGGACAGAAAUAAAAGGUUUUAUAUUUUUAGCA
Erigeron canadensis is the source of this 1023-nucleotide long non-coding RNA. RefSeq lists it as uncharacterized. NCBI's taxonomy places the organism in Eukaryota, Viridiplantae, Streptophyta, Magnoliopsida, Asterales, Asteraceae. The transcript is spliced from 2 exons. The record is from RefSeq and is a predicted model, not a curated record.